GAUGAACGCUGGCGGCGUGCCUAAUACAUGCAAGUCGAGCGAACGGACGAGAAGCUUGCUUUUCUGAUGUUAGCGGCGGACGGGUGAGUAACACGUGGAUAACCUACCUAUAAGACUGGGAUAACUUCGGGAAACCGGAGCUAAUACCGGAUAAUAUUUUGAACCGCAUGGUUCAAAAGUGAAAGACGGUCUUGCUGCCACUUAUAGAUGGAUCCGCGCUGCAUUAGCUAGUUGGUAAGGUAACGGCUUACCAAGGCAACGAUGCAUAGCCGACCUGAGAGGGUGAUCGGCCACACUGGAACUGAGACACGGUCCAGACUCCUACGGGAGGCAGCAGUAGGGAAUCUUCCGCAAUGGGCGAAAGCCUGACGGAGCAACGCCGCGUGAGUGAUGAAGGUCUACGGAUCGUAAAACUCUGUUAUUAGGGAAGAACAUAUGUGUAAGUAACUGUGCACAUCUUGACGGUACCUAAUCAGAAAGCCACGGCUAACUACGUG
RNAcentral lists this ribosomal RNA (497 nucleotides) under uncultured bacterium. Its description in RNAcentral is "partial 16S ribosomal RNA". It matches the Rfam family "Bacterial small subunit ribosomal RNA", at positions 28 to 507 of the family's 1533-position model. The record is from RNAcentral.